This 497-nucleotide ribosomal RNA is filed under the name uncultured bacterium. Its description in RNAcentral is "partial 16S ribosomal RNA". It matches the Rfam family "Bacterial small subunit ribosomal RNA", at positions 28 to 507 of the family's 1533-position model. The record is from RNAcentral.
GAUGAACGCUGGCGGCGUGCCUAAUACAUGCAAGUCGAGCGAACGGACGAGAAGCUUGCUUCUCUGGUGUUAGCGGCGGACGGGUGAGUAACACGUGGAUAACCUACCUAUAAGACUGGGAUAACUUCGGGAAACCGUAGCUAAUACCGGAUAAUAUUUUGAACCGCAUGGUUCAAAAGUGAAAGACGGUCUUGCUGUCACUUAUAGAUGGAUCCGCGCUGCAUUAGCUAGUUGGUAAGGUAACGGCUUACCAAGGCAACGAUGCAUAGCCGACCUGAGAGGGUGAUCGGCCACACUGGAACUGAGACACGGUCCAGACUCCUACGGGAGGCAGCAGUAGGGAAUCUUCCGCAAUGGGCGAAAGCCUGACGGAGCAACGCCGCGUGAGUGAUGAAGGUCUUCGGAUCGUAAAACUCUGUUAUUAGGGAAGAACAUAUGUGUAAGUAACUGUGUACAUCUUGACGGUACCUAAUCAGAAAGCCACGGCUAACUACGUG